RNAcentral lists this transfer RNA (76 nucleotides) under bacterium. RNAcentral's name for it is "tRNA-Ile". It matches the Rfam family "tRNA". From Rfam's summary of the family: Transfer RNA (tRNA) molecules are approximately 80 nucleotides in length. The record is from RNAcentral.
ACUCCUCUAGCUCAAUGGUUAGAGCAGAGCGCUCAUAACGCUUUGGUUACAGGUUCGAGUCCUGUGGGGAGUACCA